GACGAACGCUGGCGGCGUGCUUAACACAUGCAAGUCGAACGAUGAAGGAAGCUUGCUUCUGGAUUAGUGGCGAACGGGUGAGUAACACGUGAGUAACCUGCCCUUGACUCUGGGAUAAGCACUGGAAACGGUGUCUAAUACCGGAUACGAACCUCAGCCGCAUGGCUAGGGGUUGGAAAGAAUUUUGGUCAAGGAUGGACUCGCGGCCUAUCAGCUAGUUGGUGAGGAACGGCCCACCAAGGCGACGACGGGUAGCCGGCCUGAGAGGGUGACCGGCCACACUGGGACUGAGACACGGCCCAGACUCCUACGGGAGGCAGCAGUGGGGAAUAUUGCACAAUGGGCGAAAGCCUGAUGCAGCAACGCCGCGUGAGGGACGACGGCCU
RNAcentral lists this ribosomal RNA (386 nucleotides) under uncultured bacterium. RNAcentral describes it as "bacterial SSU rRNA". It matches the Rfam family "Bacterial small subunit ribosomal RNA", at positions 28 to 417 of the family's 1533-position model. The record is from RNAcentral.